AGCGAACGCUGGCGGCGUGCCUAACACAUGCAAGUCGAACGUGAAAUCGGGGCAACUCGAAAGUAAAGUGGCGUACGGGUGAGUAACACGUAGGUAAUCUACCCCGAAAUUUGGAAUAACCGGCCGAAAGGCUGGCUAAUACUGAAUAGAGCGACGGAAUCCGUAAUUGGGUUUUUCGGGAAAGGGAGGGAGCAAUCCCCUUCGUUUCGGGAUGAGCCUGCGUCUCAUUAGCUAGUUGGCGGGGUAAUGGCCCACCAAGGCAUUGAUGAGUAGCUGGUCUGAGAGGAUGAUCAGCCACACUGGAACUGAAACACGGUCCAGACUCCUACGGGAGGCAGCAGUGGGGAAUCUUGCGCAAUGGACGAAAGUCUGACGCAGCCACGCCGCGUGAGUGAAGAAGGCC
This 403-nucleotide ribosomal RNA is filed under the name uncultured bacterium. RNAcentral's name for it is "bacterial SSU rRNA". It matches the Rfam family "Bacterial small subunit ribosomal RNA", at positions 29 to 416 of the family's 1533-position model. The record is from RNAcentral.